CGUUCUCCUUAAAUAACGAUAGGGUUACAUCAUCGAUCAACCACACUCCCAGUGGAUGGAACGCGAGGUUAAAAAUGAAACUGCCAGUCAAGAGCUAAAGGCGGUUUGGGAGAACAUGUUCUCAGACACCGCGGGGUUGGUUUGCGGUGACUGCUCCUGAUGACCAUGCCAGAGUCACCACUGUGAUGGGAAAGGAAGACAGAUGUGGCAUUCCCCUCAGGGGAAGAAGCUCUUCAGGCAACUGGGACUUUCAGUGGCGUUUCUCUGGGUCCUGAACAACAUCUGGGCCAGCAAGAUGGUUAAGCUGGGGAGCACCCUUGCCACCUGAAGACCUGAGUUCCUUUCUGAGACCCACGGUGGAAGGAGAGAACCAGCUCCCUCCUGAAACCU
Microtus ochrogaster (prairie vole) is the source of this 390-nucleotide long non-coding RNA. RefSeq lists it as uncharacterized. The transcript is spliced from 3 exons. NCBI's taxonomy places the organism in Eukaryota, Metazoa, Chordata, Mammalia, Rodentia, Cricetidae. The record is from RefSeq and is a predicted model, not a curated record.